Homo sapiens (human) is the source of this 255-nucleotide long non-coding RNA. RefSeq lists it as uncharacterized. Lineage: Eukaryota; Metazoa; Chordata; Mammalia; Primates; Hominidae. The record is from RefSeq and is a predicted model, not a curated record. The transcript is spliced from 2 exons.
GCUGUGGUAGGUGGUAGCGAGACAAAAGUGAACAUGGCAGGUUUCCUUCCUUGUGUAACCUCAAGUUUAUCGCAGAUCUCUUGCCACUCAGCUACUAACCCAGUUUUUCUCUCCACCGCCACCUGCUCAGCUUUUAAUGUAUGAAACUUCUAGGGAAGUUUCAGAUGGGAGAAAUAAAGGAGUUAAAAACAUGCUGCCUCAAAAUAUGCUCCUCUGGCAUAUUGACUAUUAUGAAAUAAAGGUACUUGAAAAACA